This is a long non-coding RNA of Ruditapes philippinarum (Manila clam), 4093 nucleotides long. RefSeq lists it as uncharacterized. Lineage: Eukaryota; Metazoa; Mollusca; Bivalvia; Venerida; Veneridae. The record is from RefSeq and is a predicted model, not a curated record. The transcript has 3 exons.
UAGUUUUUGUUACUCAAGUGCGGAAUGAUAUCCUGCUGAAAUUCACAUCAGGAAUGAUUACUAUAUAGUCUUUGAACAAGUUGCUCCAUCUUUACGUGUAACUUAUGGAUAAUUUUCAUAGUUGAAGUUUAAGCUAACAUUCUGCGAGAUAUUGAUGCUCAAAGGUUGGGCAUAUAUUUCAUAAAACUAAAACAGCUUGAAUGAAUCACUUUAAUCUUGGUUUGCAUGUUUGCUAUCACAAACUUGAAAUUCAUCAAAUGCACAAUAACUUCUUUUCUUUGACAAUUUAAACUGCACCAUUAAUAAAGUAAUAAUCUCACGAUAAUUCUUUUACCAAGAUAAAUCAUGUGCAUUGGGAAAAGGCCAUCACCCGGACAAUUGAUAACAUAAAGGCUUGUUAAAUUUUCCUUUAUACACUUAACAAUUAAGGGUUUUUUAGGUAUGCCAUCACAAAUAUCUACAUUUGUCAUGAUUAAGGAUGUGCCAGUUAACAAGAAACCGAAAUAAACAACUCAUUGCCCCCGUGAAUUUAUGCAAAAGAUAAACCGAUUAAGGAAGUUGUUAGCUUGAAAGGUGUCGUUCAGAAUUAGGUAUCACGGACCCUUAUGGUCUCCGAUAAGAAUAAGAUUUUUUUUACCUAGAUAGUAUAAGACAUUUUUAGUUUCGGAAGGAAGGUAAUACGAGUUCCGUGAUGGAAGGGGGGCGGAGGGGGGAUGAUGACAUCUUGUCUAAAUGUUAGACGUUACAUGCUCAAAAUAGUGAAAUACACUGCAAAUUCAUCAUUGUAUAUGCAAAAGUACAAAUACAAUAUUUACACAUGGAUAAAUGAAAAAGAGCUGUCGAUUUAUAAGGGGCAUAAAUUAUUAAACAGGAAAACUCUGAUAAAUUGUUUCAAUAUUGAAUAUGCGUUAGCCGAUUUAAAACAAUACAAAAUAUUACAUUUAGCUGCUAGGUGCAAGCUAUCAAUUUAACUUAAAAAUUUAUAAUACAGAUUUCUGUACAAGUUUGAUUACAUUUAAACCAUUAUUUUAUUAGUUUCCAAAGACAACGAAGAGGUGUUAUUGCAUAAUCAAAUGUCAUCCGUUCAAAUUUCAUACACAUAUAUCACUAAUACAAAAUGUUUAGGUAGUAUUAAUAGUACUGAUCGUUUAUAUUUUUGAUUUUCCUCCAGUGCAAAACUUCAGUCCAACAGAAUUUUCUUUGUCAAAAAAUAGAAGUAUAUAAGAGUGUAUGAGUUUUAAGGCAAUAAAUAUCAAGUAAUGAAAAUAAAUCUAAUCUAAUAAUAUAUCAAUUUUGUAUCAACUAUUUAAAUAGCAGUUCAGCUUUUUUUGCAACUUUGCAACAACAAAUAGUCCAGAGUGUUGGUGGAAUGGGGGUAACUAGUUUUUGAAAAGAGAUUACAUCUGAUAAAAUAUACUUUAUUGACUUUAUUAUACAAAUAGAGCAAAAUGACUUCACCUUUAUAUUCAUGGCUAUUUUUUUCAUGAACUGUGAAUGAAAUAUAUUGACUUGCUACUGGUCAGUGGUGGUACUAGCCAAUACCUAAUCCGCCUCACUUCAUUAUGCAUACCUUUUCGCAUGGCUUUGAGCUUGUUUUUUCUAAUCCAUUAUAAUCUGUACACUUCCAUUUAGGAUUUGAAAACUGUAUUGAUAUGUAACAGUACAGGUCUUUCACUUGAUUCAUAUGGGAAUAAAACUCGAUUGCUAUAUAACAGUUCAGUGUUUUUUUGCACCUGCUAUAUAUCGAUUGAGUAUUUUACGUAGGUUCAAAGGGGAUCAAAGGGGCCAUGGGGUUUCACAUUCAUAAUAGAAAAAAGCCGAUUAAACCUCGUGAUGCUACCCAAACAGGUUUUGGGCAUGUCCCGGACAAAGUUCACAGUGUAGAAAUGAACAAAAAGAAAUAACUCAAAAAUUCGGCAAGGCAGAGUUACGUUUCUUUUGCAAAGCACAUCUACUCAAUGAGAUCUAUCUUUCUACAAAGCUUCUUGUUGAUACCUCUUGUGAUUUCAGAGGAAUGUCCCGGACGAAGUUAAAAAAUGAACAAAAGGCAAUUACUCCAAAAUUGGGCUAGGCAAAGUUACAGAUAUUUUUCAUUGAACAUUUACCCAAUGAGAUAUAUCUACCUACACAGUUUAUUGUUGAUAUCUCUUAUAGGUAAGAGUUAUGUCCCGGAUAAAGAUAACAGUGUAAAAAUGAACAAAGGGCAAUAACUCCAAAAUAAGGCAAGGCAGAGUUAUGGUUCUUAUGCAAUGCACUUCUACUCAAUGAGAUCUAUCUACCUACCUGAUCUUAUGUUACAAAAAUAAUGAAAUUGCGGUAGAACAUUUACAAUGUAUGAAACUCGUAAGUGACGGUGGUAAAACAGUGGCUGGGGCGACAACUCGGGAUGUUUCUGCAAACUAUCACCUCGGCCUAAUGGCUUCGACAUUAUUUUGCAGAUACAUCCCUAGAUGUCGGCGUAGCCACUGAUAUACACCCGUUACUUACUCGUUUCAUAUUCUAUAACUAUUACUUCAUUGUUAUUUUUCUGUAGUAUUAUUAGUGAACAAAAUGUAGCGUUGACAUUUCUAUAUGUAUGUUUUUCAAUACAUUACAUAUAAAACUAACAUGAUAUACCAAACAUUGCACUGUAAUUUUCACUUCUUAACUUUGUUUUCUUUACUCUCCGGGGUUUUUACCUUUUCCAUUUUUUUACAACUUAAAUUAUAAAUUUGAUGACAACGUGUUUGUAAGUGAGAAUCUAAUUUACAACGCCCUUUUCUCUGGGUCGGAUGUUUAUGUCAAGGACAUCAUCGCUUGUUUUAAAUGACUUUGAUUAUGAUUGAUUUAAUUCACACAGUGCGCGACGCUAUAUUAAGAUUAAAUGAGUUUAGAUGAAUAUCAAACUACGAUCUUCUAAAUGUUUACAUACAGGUUUAACAGUUACGUAACAGGAUACAACAAUAUUUACUUCGUUUAUCUUGUGGUAUUUUUUUAAAUUAGCUCAAUGAAAAUAACACUUGGAGAUUGCUUUCAAGUUUGAAAUGUUGUUCGGGAAUAAAUCUCGUCUGUUACCAAAUUAAAACAAUAACUUGAGAGCGAAAUAUCGAAUUGUUAGGUUUGAGUUUUGAUGUUAUCGCUACUGAUGGAAAGAUAAAACUGAGGAAGAAAUCGAUCAUAUGUAAGAUUCUAAGACAUGUUUGAUGGGAUAAAAAUGAUUUUUGUUUCAUUAUACAGUUUGUGGAUAAUAUUAUCUAUAAAGACAUUUGAAACAACUGCUAUGAAAGUAUAUCUUAACACAAAAGAUACAUCUAUAAGUGUUUUUGAUAAUUUUACUACUAGAAAAGCGAAUAUGUAUGUUCAAAGAAAAUAUAAAAUUUACAGACGAAAAAUAGAAAUAAACUCAACUAGUGAUGAUGAAACAAACUACAGAGGUAGAUAUUGGGAAAGAGAAACACGUCUACAGAAUCGGAAGUUCCAAACUCGAAUCGUACCAGUGGAAAUCAUCCCAGUGACUGAUAUAGGUCUAGAUAUAAAAAGUAGCCGUAGAAAAAGAGAUUCGAACAUUAGAUGUCAUGGACUUUGUGACAGAUCCUUAUGUCAAUGGACUGAUAGUUGGGAUUUUGAUAAAUACAGAAACCCAGCAUUUAUUCCAAAGGCUUAAUGUAGCAGCCAAUACAGGUUGAACUCAGGAAAUAUAGUGAUUCCAAAUAUUCUAAAUAUGUAUACAGCAUGUGAGCCAAUAAGAAGAGAUAUACCGAUAUUCAAAAAUAAUGAAAAUGCAUACAUCAAAGACUGGCCGGUUGCGUGUGCAUGUACCAUUAAACAUAAAGCAACACUUCAAAAUAAACAUAGAAAAUUUCGGCACAAAACUAAACAUGAAAAGUUAAGGAAAAGAGGGCAACGAAGACGGAUCAAAGUUUAAACUAAAUACGAAUUCAAUAUACAUGCAUCCAAAUAUUUUGAAGUCAGAGAGAAGCUACUAAAACCAUUUCUUUUUCUUCCGCAGUUUAGGAAGUAAUUCUUGGAAUGGCGUAAAAAAUGAACUAUUACUAUAUUGUUUUAAAAUGCAACUUAUCUUUAUAUUGAAUGUCAAUGUCUCACUUUUUUAACU